RNAcentral lists this ribosomal RNA (500 nucleotides) under uncultured bacterium. Its description in RNAcentral is "partial 16S ribosomal RNA". It matches the Rfam family "Bacterial small subunit ribosomal RNA", at positions 30 to 523 of the family's 1533-position model. The record is from RNAcentral.
AUUGAACGCUGGCGGCAGGCCUAACACAUGCAAGUCGAGCGGAUGACGGGAGCUUGCUCCUUGAUUCAGCGGCGGACGGGUGAGUAAUGCCUAGGAAUCUGCCUGGUAGUGGGGGACAACGUUUCGAAAGGAACGCUAAUACCGCAUACGUCCUACGGGAGAAAGCAGGGGACCUUCGGGCCUUGCGCUAUCAGAUGAGCCUAGGUCGGAUUAGCUUGUUGGUGAGGUAAUGGCUCACCAAGGCGACGAUCCGUAACUGGUCUGAGAGGAUGAUCAGUCACACUGGAACUGAGACACGGUCCAGACUCCUACGGGAGGCAGCAGUGGGGAAUGUUGGACAAUGGGCGAAAGCCUGAUCCAGCCAUGCCGCGUGUGUGAAGAAGGUCUUCGGAUUGUAAAGCACUUUAAGUUGGGAGGAAGGGUUGUAGAUUAAUACUCUGCAAUUUUGACGUUACCGACAGAAUAAGCACCGGCUAACUCUGUGCCAGCCGCCGCCGUAA